AAAUGCUAGGAUGUGAUGGGGAAGCCCUUCGGGGCGAAGUAGCUGAUUUCACACUGUCAAGAAAAGCUUCUAUCGAGUUUAAAGGCGCCCGUACCGUAAACCGACACAGGUGGGUGAGGAGAGUAUCCAAGGCCAGCGAGAAAACUAUUGUUAAGGAACUCGGCAAAAUGACCCCGUAACUUAGGGAGAAGGGGUGCCUGUCUAUGACAGGCCGCAGAGAAUAGGCCCAAGCGACUGUUUACCAAAAACACAGGUUUCUGCUAAGUCGCAAGACGAUGUAUAGGAGCUGACGCCUGCCCGGUGCUGGAAGGUUAAGGGGAUCUGUUAGAGCAAUCGAAGCAGUGAACUUAAGCCCCAGUAAACGGCGGCCGUAACAAUAACGGUCCUAAGGUAGCGAAAUUCCUUGUCGGGUAAGUUCCGACCCGCACGAAAGGCGUAACGAUUUGGGCACUGUCUCAACAAUAGACUCGGUGAAAUUGUAAUCCCGGUGAAGAUGCCGGGUACCUGCGACAGGACGGAAAGACCCCAUGGAGCUUUACUGUAGCUUGACGUUGGGUCUUGGUACUACAUGUACAGGAUAGGUGGGAGACUAUGAAGCAUGGACGCCAGUCUGUGUGGAGUCAUCCUUGGGAUACCACCCUUGUAGUACUGGGAUCCUAACCAUAGGCCUUGAAUCAGGUCUUGGAACACCGUCAGGUGGGCAGUUUGACUGGGGCGGUCGCCUCCUAAAAAGUAACGGAGGCGCUCAAAGGUUUCCUCAGCACGGUCGGAAAUCGUGCGAAGAGUGUAAAGGCAAAAGGAAGCUUGAUUGCAAGACAUACAGGUCGAGCAAGGACGAAAGUCGGACUUAGUGAUCCGGUGGUACCGCAUGGAAGGGCCAUCGCUCAACGGAUAAAAGCUACCCUGGGGAUAACAGGCUUAUCUCCCCCAAGAGUCCACAUCGACGGGGAGGUUUGGCACCUCGAUGUCGGCUCAUCACAUCCUGGGGCUGUAGUAGGUCCCAAGGGUUGGGCUGUUCGCCCAUUAAAGUGGUACGCGAGCUGGGUUCAGAACGUCGUGAGACAGUUCGGUCCCUAUCCGUCGCAGGCGUAGGAAAUUUGAGAAGACCUGUCCUUAGUACGAGAGGACCGGGAUGGACGUACCUCUGGCGUACCAGUUGUUCUGCCAAGGGCAUGGCUGGGUAGCUAUGUACGGAAUGGAUAAGCGCUGAAAGCAUCUAAGCGCGAAGCCAACUUCAAGAUAAGAUUUCCCACCGCAAGGGUAAGACCCCAGGAAGACUACCUGGUUGAUAGGUCGAAGGUGUAAGUGCAGUAAUGUAUUUAGCUUAUCGAUACUAAUAGGUCGAGGACUUGACC
This 1355-nucleotide ribosomal RNA is filed under the name metagenome. RNAcentral describes it as "bacterial LSU rRNA". It matches the Rfam family "Bacterial large subunit ribosomal RNA", at positions 1551 to 2925 of the family's 2925-position model. The record is from RNAcentral.